GGGCAUGCGGAAGGAUCAUUG
This 21-nucleotide ribosomal RNA is filed under the name Emblica officinalis (emblic). Its description in RNAcentral is "Phyllanthus emblica partial 18S ribosomal RNA". Lineage: Eukaryota; Viridiplantae; Streptophyta; Magnoliopsida; Malpighiales; Phyllanthaceae. The record is from RNAcentral.